This 427-nucleotide ribosomal RNA is filed under the name uncultured bacterium. RNAcentral's name for it is "bacterial SSU rRNA". It matches the Rfam family "Bacterial small subunit ribosomal RNA", at positions 958 to 1400 of the family's 1533-position model. The record is from RNAcentral.
AACGCGAAGAACCUUACCCAGGUUUGACAUCCUUGGAAUUUCUCCGAAAGGAGAGAGUGCCUUCGGGAGCCAAGUGACAGGUGAUGCAUGGCCGUCGUCAGCUCGUGUCGUGAGAUGUUUGGUUAAGUCCAUCAACGAGCGCAACCCUUAUAGUUAGUUGAAUUUUUCUAGCUAGACUGCCCUGGUAACAGGGAGGAGGGAGGGGAUGAUGUCAGGUCCGUAUUUCCCUUACAUCUGGGGCUACAAACACGCUACAAUGGCCGGUACAAAGGGCUGCCAAGUCGCGAGACGGAGCAAAUCCCAUCAAAGCCGGUCCAAGUUCGGAUUGCAGGCUGAAACUCGUCUGCAUGAAGCUGGAAUCGCUAGUAACGGUAGGUCAGCAUUACUACCGUGAAUACGUUCCCGGGCCUUGUACACACCGUGUCGA